RNAcentral lists this small RNA (79 nucleotides) under Flavobacterium sp. 81. RNAcentral describes it as "Flavo-1 RNA". It matches the Rfam family "Flavo-1 RNA". RNAcentral also lists the same sequence under 1 other name. Lineage: Bacteria; Pseudomonadati; Bacteroidota; Flavobacteriia; Flavobacteriales; Flavobacteriaceae. The record is from RNAcentral.
UUUUAGCCCCGAUAGAAGCGGUAUCCUUUUUCUGGCUUCUUUAGCCAGGAAAAGAUACAAGCGGAUAGCGGGAAUAGCU